UCUAAUGAGACUGCCAUCGUAAGAUGUGAGGAAGGUGGGGAUGACGUCAAAUCAGCACGGCCCUUACGUCCGGGCGACACACGUGUUACAAUGGGUGGUACAAAGGGCAGCUACCUGGCGACAGGAUGCUAAUCUCGAAAACCGCUCUCAGUUCGGAUCGGAGUCUGCAACUCGACUCCGUGAAGCUGGAUUCGCUAGUAAUCGCGCAUCAGCCACGGCGCGGUGAAUACGUUCCCGGGCCUU
This 243-nucleotide ribosomal RNA is filed under the name uncultured Proteiniphilum sp. RNAcentral's name for it is "partial 16S ribosomal RNA". It matches the Rfam family "Bacterial small subunit ribosomal RNA", at positions 1139 to 1382 of the family's 1533-position model. Lineage: Bacteria; Pseudomonadati; Bacteroidota; Bacteroidia; Bacteroidales; Dysgonomonadaceae. The record is from RNAcentral.